Ornithorhynchus anatinus (platypus) is the source of this 295-nucleotide long non-coding RNA. RefSeq lists it as uncharacterized. The transcript has 2 exons. NCBI's taxonomy places the organism in Eukaryota, Metazoa, Chordata, Mammalia, Monotremata, Ornithorhynchidae. The record is from RefSeq and is a predicted model, not a curated record.
CCAGCACUGGGAAGUGGAGAAUGACUUCAUUAAAUCCCGUGGUUCCACGGAUCCGUCUCCCUGGAUUUAUUGCCUACUCGCCACCCGGAAGGACCCCGGAGAAGGAGAGAGGGCCGAACGCUUGCUAAGCUGUUCCGGUCCUGUAGCCUGAAGUGGGGUCAACUGACAAUACAGCAAAUCUGCUGAGCUGCGGUGUUCUCUGCUCAUCCCAUUCUGUGGAGUCCCACCGUGAAUCAAGCCUACGUGGAAAACCGCUGAACAGUUCCGGUUAAAGUUUAGGUGACCGUUCUCUGGA